AAUUUUCCAAGGUCUAACUGAAAACCCUAGGAAAUGAACUCAGAUGGAUUUUAGUGUUGUAGACGUGUGCUUUUGAUGGGAAUCUCCUGAUCACUCUCACUAUUCACGUUGCGGUUCUUGCUGCAGAGUCAUCCUGGAAUGCGUGAACCUGAUGUUUUUUGAAUGAAAUGAAACCAGCAGAUGCACUCCAGAAGCAAGCCCCAUGACUUGCUGCUGCCAAUGAGAUGUCAGACCACAGGACAGCCAAAAACUAGAGUAUCCUGUCUGCCAUCCUUGAAAACAACGGAGUAAUGUGUCCCUCCCUGAAGUGGCAAAUCUGCCUGCCCUUCUUCCACUUUUUUUGCUGCCUUUAACAUUCCAGAGGUGUUUCUCUGAAGGUCCACUGGGACUGAACUCAAAUCUUGCUUUGGUUUCAUGCUGUGAGCUAACUCCUGGUCACCUGGGGAUUCGAGUCGGGUAGUCUGAAGGGCCCAGAUGACUUUGUUACUCCUGAUUGCUACUGGCUAAAAUGUUUGUGUGUCUCACACCAAGCCAAUAUAACUGUUUGAUACUUAGAGGAAAUGAAAGUGAAAAUACAGAAAAGUGCAGAGCUGAUAAAAUAGUGCCCACAUCAUCUUUCUGGUUUAGCUGUAACAUGAUGCUGAAAAGUGUCAUGGCAGUUUCCAAGUCCAUCCAUCAGAAAAACUGCAAAAGCUUAAAUAAACUCCAAUGAAUGAAUAAGUUAUCAUUGGAAUACAGUUCAAAAUUCCAACUGACAUGAAAUUUACUAAAAAAACUAAUUAUUCUCCCCUGAGAAGUUCCUCUAUAGAGUUUAAGCUGUGUGGAGACAAGAUUUUGCAUAUUUUUUUUCUCCUCUCCUGUCUUGGUUAUUGCAAUGACAUUAACUUUCUCUUUUACAGUAAAACUUAUGAAUGACCUGGAAAAAUGUAAGCUUACUCAGUUAUACAAGGUAGCAUCCAAACAAUCCAGGAGAUUUUAAAAAAGGACCUCAAACAACUACAAGCAAAACUGUAGCAACUGCAAAAUGGGUUUUAGCCCUAGCCUAUUGUUCCAGAAGCAUUUGGACUUGACUCUUGGAGCAGGACUCAACUGGCUGGAUUUCACCUUAGGAAGUUUAAGAAGUGAAUGACCUGCUCAAGAAAAAGAUCAAGUCACCUGGCUUUUGUUUGUUGUUGUUCUAAAGAAAGGAUGAAGCAUCAGGAGCUGUGUGAGUGGCUUUAAAGUGGACAGUGUAUUGUUUUCUUCAGUUGCCAUAGAUCUAUCAACAGAGUAUUAUCUCCUUGGUAAGAACUGUUUUUGCACUUCUGCACUUAAGAUCAAGAAUUAUCAAUUUUGUAGCAAGGAAGUCAUGUAAAUGAGGCCUCCUAAGGAAUUAAAAAAAAAUCAGAUUCCACUGACAAUAUAUAGGCAUUUUUAAAAUAGCUUGGACUUGAACAUUGGAACUGGUUAGAAGACAAGCCUGGGGAGGUCUUAAUAGAGAUUUACUAGCAAUUUUGGAAAUAUUUAGGUAUACUGCAUUAACUCUACUAAACUAUAAUCUGAAUGACCAGGUUUGUACAGACACUAGCAAUAUUCCAAAGAGGAACAUUUUACCAUCUUCCAUCCGUCUCUCUGCACUGGUGCUAAGAUCACAGAGAUAAUUGUAUGAAUAGUACCAGCUACUCUGUAGCCUCCCAACAUUACAAGUGUCAUUUUGACUAAGAGAAGUAUAAGUGCAUUGCAUGAUUCAGCCCAUUUUAUAUUCAUUUCACAAAACCUCCUGUAACUUAAGUUCUGACAAAAGUUCUGCCUGGAUAUUAAAGAUGAAAGACCAGUAGUGUCCUUUUGGAAAGUUUAAUAAUUUUAUGUCAGUAGAACUUUAGAAUGGUUUGAAUAUUCUGUCUGAGCAUGUCUUUAGUGUGUAUGUAUAUAUUGUCUUUCAGGAGUUCCAUACAAAAUCUACUCAGAUUAUGACUAAAAGAUUGUGUCUUAACUGGCUAAGAACCUUGAAAAAUUCAUCACAAAAUUGAAAAGUCUAUCUGAGCU
This is a long non-coding RNA of Pseudopipra pipra, 2025 nucleotides long. RefSeq lists it as uncharacterized. Lineage: Eukaryota; Metazoa; Chordata; Aves; Passeriformes; Pipridae. The transcript is spliced from 3 exons. The record is from RefSeq and is a predicted model, not a curated record.